This 446-nucleotide ribosomal RNA is filed under the name uncultured bacterium. Its description in RNAcentral is "bacterial SSU rRNA". It matches the Rfam family "Bacterial small subunit ribosomal RNA", at positions 29 to 506 of the family's 1533-position model. The record is from RNAcentral.
AUGAAUGCUGGCGGCGUGUCUAAGGCAUGCAAGUCGAACGCACGUUAUGGUGCGUGGCAAACGGGAGAGUAAUACUUUGGUAACCUACCUCUUAGUCGUGAAUAACUUUUCGAAAGAUUAGAUAAUACACGAUGGCCUGAAUUUUCGAAAGAAGAUUUAGUAAAGAUUUAUCGCUAAGAGAGGGGCCUAAGGCCUAUCAGCUAGUUGGUGAGAUAAUAGCCCACCAAGGCAACGACGGGUAGCAGGUGUGAGAGCACGACCUGCCCCAUUGGGACUGAGAUACUGCCCAGACACCUACGGGUGGCUGCAGUUAAGAAUAUUCCACAAUGCACGAAAGUGUGAUGGAGCGACGCCGCGUGAAUGAUGAAGCCCUUCGGGGUGUAAAGUUCUUUUAUUGAGGAAAAAUUUAUGAUGUUACUUAAUGAAUAAGGGGCUGCUAACUUCGU